UCCCCUUGCCCAAUCAAGAGGGAGGCUAAUCUAUAAAGGGGAGAAGUGUCCAUCUCUCUGCCUCUCACUCUUUGGCUUUGGAGGGCACGCCCACUUCCGGCUGCCGCCCUUCCGUCUGAUUGUAGCUCACUGGUUGCAGGUUAAUGUGUGUUGGCUGCACUGUUUGUGCUGGUGCAGACUGUUUGGUUGGCGCGUCAUGAUUUUCAUCAUUGCAGACUUUUUGCUGAUUCCCCCUGGUCUGCCAGAACCUGGUGUUUGAUGCAUCGUUAACGCUUGUUAACAAAUCGCUUUUUGGACGGUACGGUCAGCCAUCACGGCUAACCAUAGCCUCAGGCUCCAUCUGCUCUGCCUGGUCUGGUGUGGUGUUGCACGGUGCGGCUGUCCUGGGUCUGUGUGGCCUGCUGUUCCUUUCCAGCCGCUGCCGUGGCCGCAACAGCUCGUCGAUCUGCGCUCGGGAGCGGGUGUGUGUCGGCCUGCUGGCAGCCAGAAUCUGGGUCCCAAUUGUGGGUUGCUGAGAGCUGCCGGUGGUGGUCCCUGGUGUCCUGGUGAUGGUUUCCCCUUUUGAGUGUGUGUGCUGUGCACCCCUUUUUUUGUUUUUUUAGUUUUUCACAUAUGAUCGGGGUAAUUUUGUUUUCCCUGGAUUCCUCUCACUCCCGACCCCCGACUGGCAGAGCAGACGCAGGUCCUGUUGGUGGGAUUUGUUAGGAGUCCUGCAUUCCUGGCCUGACUCCUGCCUCUGACUCUCUCCUGAUCUACCCGGAACCUGAAUCCCCCAAGCCCUGCGGACUCUUCCUGCCCUGCGUCAUUCUGCCCAUUCCCCUGCUCUGCUCUGCCUUGCUCAGCUCCCUGCACCUGCCCCAGCCUCAGAUUCGGCUGCCAGCCUCUGCCUCCACCUUGCCACUAAGAUUCUGAUGCUCCUUUUUACCUCAACAUCAGGUCGUAAUAAAACCAAUAAUCUGAUUCCUAUUCCUCACCUCGGUCUCUGUAUUUUGCACCCUGGGGUUCUCUGUACUAGCCCGUAGCAAUGUCACAAUAUUCAUAUCCACAGUAAUGCAUAAAAUAAAUGGGCUUUCAUUCAUUUCA
This is a long non-coding RNA of Thunnus maccoyii (southern bluefin tuna), 1083 nucleotides long. RefSeq lists it as uncharacterized. The transcript has 4 exons. NCBI's taxonomy places the organism in Eukaryota, Metazoa, Chordata, Actinopteri, Scombriformes, Scombridae. The record is from RefSeq and is a predicted model, not a curated record.